RNAcentral lists this ribosomal RNA (497 nucleotides) under uncultured bacterium. RNAcentral's name for it is "partial 16S ribosomal RNA". It matches the Rfam family "Bacterial small subunit ribosomal RNA", at positions 28 to 507 of the family's 1533-position model. The record is from RNAcentral.
GAUGAACGCUGGCGGCGUGCCUAAUACAUGCAAGUCGAGCGAACGGACGAGGAGCUUGCUUCUCUGAUGUUAGCGGCGGACGGGUGAGUAACACGUGGAUAACCUACCUAUAAGACUGGGAUAACUUCGGGAAACCGGAGCUAAUACCGGAUAAUAUUUUGAACCGCAUGGUUCAAAAGUGAAAGACGGUUUUGCUGUCACUUAUAGAUGGAUCCGCGCUGCAUUAGCUAGUUGGUAAGGUAACGGCUUACCAAGGCAACGAUGCGUAGCCGACCUGAGAGGGUGAUCGGCCACACUGGAACUGAGACACGGUCCAGACUCCUACGGGAGGCAGCAGUAGGGAAUCUUCCGCAAUGGGCGAAAGCCUGACGGAGCAACGCCGCGUGAGUGAUGAAGGUCUUCGGAUCGUAAAACUCUGUUAUUAGGGAAGAACAAAUGUGUAAGUAACUGUGCACGUCUUGACGGUACCUAAUCAGAAAGCCACGGCUAACUACGUG